GGAGAAUGGCUGUAACUCAGUGGUAGAGCAUCUGCUUUACAUGCAGAAGUUUGUAGAUUCAGUUCCCAGCAUCUCCA
Podarcis lilfordi (Lilford's wall lizard) is the source of this 77-nucleotide non-coding RNA. The record is from the annotation of a GenBank genome assembly. NCBI's taxonomy places the organism in Eukaryota, Metazoa, Chordata, Lepidosauria, Squamata, Lacertidae.